Molecule: long non-coding RNA, 18233 nt
Filed under: Homo sapiens (human)
Lineage: Eukaryota; Metazoa; Chordata; Mammalia; Primates; Hominidae
Description: non-protein coding lnc-SGK1-5:4
Source: RNAcentral
GGUGUGGAAUGUGAGGCCUCCAUUGCUGAGUACUUUCACCACUGUGAUUGAGGAAAUUUUCAUUUGGUAAGAAAUUGAGCUCAUGAUGAAGACGUGUUUACUAAUAGCUGUCUGUACUUCUGUUUUAUUUUUACCGUACUUGGGAAUUGUAUUGCCUCUAGGUUUAUCUAUCUUGAAUUCUAAGCAUAACUGGGAAAUGAGUUAAAAAUUCCAUAUAAAGAUUUGGCUUUUCUUUGACCAAUAAUGCAGUGGAAUGCAGAAGUGGGAGGUACAGGUAGAAAGAGAGAGAGGAAAUGCAUUUUCCCUGGUGCAGAGUAACCUUCUGGUUCUGUUAAAGUUAAAAAAAAAUUACUAGCUAUUCUGUGUUAAAAGUAGCCUUAAAUUUUUUAAAUUACUAUGAUAUUGAGGCUGAGCACAGUGGCUCAUGCCUGUAAUCCCAGCACUUUGGGAGGCCAAGGCAGGCGGAUCACCUGAGGUCAGGAGUUCGAUACCAGCCUGGCCAACGUGGUGAAACCCCAUCUCUACUAAAAAUACAAAAAUUAGCCAAGUAUGGUGGCAGGUGCCUGUAAUCCCAGCUAGUUGGGAGGCCGAGGCGGAAGAAUCUCUUGAACCUGGGAGGCGGAGUUUGCAGUGAGCCGAGAUCGCACCACUGUACUCCAGCCUGGGGGACUGAGCAAGACUCUGUCUCAAAAAUAAAUAAAUAAAUAAAUAAAUAAAUACAUAAAUAAAUAAAUAAAAUAAAUCACUGUGAUAUUGGACAAACAUUAUCAUAAAAAUUUAUUUUUUAAUAAAGAACAAAACCACAUUAUCAUAUAAGUCUGGCAAAUCUGCUUUGAUUUUUUCUAGAUUGAGUUAUUGGAUCUCUGUUAAACUGUUAUUAGAUAGAACAAAUAUAUGCAUUAUACUAUUAUCUUCUUUUCCCCUGGGCCCUUCUAUUUAAUUAGGACAAGGUAACUUGAAAACAUGUAAAGUACUGUCAUCAAAAACAUAUAUCUACUGAAUGCCUCCCCUUACCCUCAUUGGCCAAGUGUCAUAUUAGGUAUACUGAAGAUACAAAGAUCCUUGCCUUCUGGGACUUUACAUUUUAGUGUCAGAGACAGAAGAGAUGUAUGAGAAAAUAAACACAGAAGAAAGAGCAGAUGCUAUGAAUCCCCAUGACACAUCUGUUUUCAAAUGAGAAACAGCAUAAACAAUGUGAAGGCUGAAUUCCACACAUCAUUCUCGGGUCCAAUUUAUUUGCCAACUCUAGGAAAGAUAAACUCAGAUAUUAUUGUGAUAUUCACACAACUAUCACCAUGAAGAACAGAUUUUCUGAUUCAAGGAGAAGGAAAAAAACAGCUUUCUCUUCUUGAGAACUGAAUUAUUCUUCCCUCUUAACACUUCUGUGAAUUUUUCCUGCUAAAUAUAACAGCCAAAACAAGGGGCCUGAAGCCCAAUUUGGUUGCAUUGCAAGACAAAUAACAUCCAUACUAAUAACAGCAGCUAUAAUGUAUUGAACCCCUAUUGUAAUAGGCUCCAUGUUAAGCAUAUUUACAUAUAUCUUCUCAUUCAAACAUCAUAACAAUCCUGGAAGAAACGUGCUAUGAUGCCCUUUGAGUAAAAGACCAGAAGGAUUAAGUAAAAUGACCAAGUAUUAUGCAUAAACCAUGGCUGGGCAGGAUUUGCACCCAGGUCCAUCCAUCUAAAAACCCGUUUCUUUUCAUUACCUCAGAAGAGAAGUGGUUAUUCCAUUUCCCUAGGAUGAGUAAUUCCUCUGUGAAGGAAAUACCAACAUUCUUUCAAUGCUUAUCUACAGAGGAGGGUGGAGGAGGAACGGAUAAGGUGGAAAAAGUCAGUGAGGAUUAGGAAUGACAUCCCAAGGCUGAAUCACUUAUCCAUUUAUUUAAUCAAACAAGUUUAUAUUGAAGGCCAAAUAGGUGCUGGAUACAGGAGACUGGACUGUAAAAUAGAGAUGCAUCAUGCCACUCAGGGAGCUACAGUCUCAUGGAGAAGACAGACCAAGAAGACAAGCACGUCAAAUAAGGAAACAAACAGGGCACCCAAAUAGGGAAUCAUGGGAGGUGGUGGUGGCCCGCUUUGAAUACCACUGUUGCUGUUUACUUUCCAGCUUUCUCUAAGGAAGUGACAUAUAAGCUGAGCCUGAAAGAUGAAGAGGAGCAGAUUGUAUGCAGAGCAGAGGGAAGAGCAAGCUGAUGGAGGUGACUAAUCAGAGGGCCUGAUGGUCAAGUGCUCAAGGUGGAGUUAAAGGAAACCCUGCUUUCUUGACAUCACCAGCUGCUCAGAAGCCUUCAGCAGGCAUCCUAGACCUUCUCCUUCUCUAAGGGAUGGGCCUCACCUACUUUCUUCAGCUGAGACCUGGCACAGACCCUUGGAGCUUCUAAGGACCCCAUUGUAGCCUUGGGGUGGAGGCCCAUGGCACCACUGCCCUCUCCCUGGGAUAAAGGUCCUGGGGCCACUUCUCAGGGCUGUGUCCCUCUAUCAGGAGGGUCUCACUUUGUCACCCCACCUGGAGUGUAGUGGCGCAAUCUCAGUUCACUGCAGCCUCCGCCUCCCAAGUCAAGCGACUCUCCUGCCUCAGCCUCCUGAGUAGCUGGGAUUACAGGCAUGCACCACCACACCUGGCUAAUUUUUGUAUUUUUAGUAGACGCAGGGUUUCGCUAUGUUGUCUAGGCUGUUCGCAAACUCCUGACUUCAAGUGAUCCACCUACCUCACCCUCCCAAAAUGCUGGGAUUACUGGCGCCUUGCCUAAAGUUGGUAUUCUAAUUUUCAAAUAAGGAAAUUGGAGCUCAGAAGGUUAUCCGAUUUUACCAGGGACACACAGUUGACAAGCAGCAGAAUCAGAGAUGGAACUCAGAUCUGUGCAUGUCCAAAGUUAGUGCACUCAACCACUUCCCUGUAUGCUUCUAUGGAUCAAUCAACAUUGAAACAAUUUUUUCUUGGUCUCCAGCCUUUAAAAACAAGUCUCUUUAAGCUGAGUAACUGACUUAAAGUAAUAGGUGCAUGGAAUCGGUGCUAUUUGUCCAAACUGCUCCCAUCUCUUCCACACUGAUCUUGUUCAAGUUCUCAAACAUGACAAUAUUUUCUGGAUGCUUUUCAAAUAUAUCAUUUUACAUGUUCGAAAUCUCUUAAUACCACUCAGGAGUGAGUAAAUAUUAGCAGCCAUUAGUUAUGGAGUAGUAAACUGAGCUAGAAAUAAGAUGAAUGACAAGUUCUAGAACGUAACAGCGGUGGGAGGUGUCUCAGCAAAGCAGCAAUGGAGCCAAUAAAGGUUUAUGGACUCAUAAGUCCACAGUAAGAAAUGUCCUACAUGCAGUGUAGGACUCAGGAAGUUGAGACCUCAGAGUGCUUGCUUGGUUUUGAACUCCAUAUCACGGAACCAUAAAUACAUACAUAGUCAUAUGCAUGAGUCCUCAGGUUCUAGUAACUGAUUCACAAACUCUUCCUGGAAGUCCUUUGGUAAUAAAUAUCAGAAUUACGAGCAAUGUGUUUUCUAAGUCAGAACAACACACUGUAUCCAAUUAGUCUCAGCGAAGUCCCAGUAAAGGAAUUUCAUCCAAUCUGACUCAGAACAACACGGUGGUGACAUCAGGUCCAAUACAGACCCUGCAGAGAAAAUGAAUGGGUGGGGAUAGACUGAGCACAUGUGCACUUUUCUGGGUCCCUCCUCUGCGGCGCAGGCCACAGGCAGUCCUUUCUAGUAAAGCCUGUGUGAAACCCUGGUGGUGAAGGAGUCUUAUCUUGACAGCUUCCGCUGUAUCACAACAUUCACAACAGUAUGUCAGUAAAAGGCAAAAAGAAACAACCCAAUUAUAUUGAACCACAGAUGUGUAGAUGUGUACACAGAUGUUCCCCCCCAUCCCCACUCCAAAAAAGGAAGUUCCCCGGAUGUCUUGCUCCGUAGCAAUUGUCACAUGCAUUUUAAAGAAAUUCAGCAUCUUUGUGUCACAUUCUCAAGAUAGUUUCAAAUUAACGUUUGACUACUUGAGAGGCUGAAGUGGGAGGAUUGAUUGAGGCUAGGAGUUCAAAGCCAGCCUGGGCAACAUAGUGAGACCCCCAUUUCCAAAAAAAAAAUAAAAGAGUAAAAAAACAGUUAUCUUCGGCAUUGGAGUCAAUGGGGUGUAUGGCUAAAUAUCAGAAACACCACACUUCCUUAGCUAACUUUACUUAGAGAUAUUUGUUCUGAUUCAAGCUUUGUUCUUUUAUUCCCUUUUAUUUAUGAAUUUAUGAAGAGCACAGAUACCAUUUACAUAUUUGUUUUUAAUGUAUUUUCAAAAUUCUGACUGAAAAGUAAAAACCCCUUGCCUCCAAUUUGCUUCAGUUUGUUGGGCAAAAAUAGGUCUCCUUUUCAUCACUGCUUACACAAACCAUUUUAUUAAUAAUUUAUCACAAUGUUCCACAGCAGAGAUAAAGCAGACACCCACAUGAUCAUUAUGUGUUCAUAAUGUGGGCUCUGCAGUGUCUUAAAUUUCCCUGCACCUGCUGUUACCUGCUCGCUCCCUUCUCUCUAAGGUUUGCAUUUGCUGUGAUGCUGAUAAGCUUUAGCGCCACACUUUUCACUGCCUGGAUAGGUAACUGUUGACUAGGAAAAGCAGACACAGGUUGCAUCAUGUGUUGCCACGAUCUUAUUUUCACCCUCCUUGAACUAACUGCAGUCAAGAGAAUUUGCCCUACAGAUGGGUGAGAGUUUUCACAGUGCCCUGGGAUCCUCCAAUUCUUGGGUCCUUAGUCUUCCUCGCCAGCCUCCCCACUCCCCUCACACACAGUUCUUUCUUUGCUCUGCUUCUGAAGACAUUUGAACCUGUUCUAAAUCCCUCCCCUUCCUUCCAUAAAGAGAGCUUCCUUAGAUCAUUUUUCUCAGCCUUUCUCUGCUUGCUGAAUUUAAACCUUGGCACAAAGGUCACAGGCAGACAGAAGGCACUUUGCUGAAUAACUUGUGUUUGAACUUCUAGAACAGUUACUUUGGGUUUUUUUAAGGUACUCAUGUCAUGUUUGGCAGUGAAACGUUCAGUGUUGCAAAAAAUAAAAAUGUCAACUUGCAAAAUCUUUCUCCUUCAACUCUACAUCCGUAGAGAAAAAUAAAAGAUGUAUAAUGCCUUUCACCCAAGAAUGCUGAAAUCAUUAAUAAGCAUCAAGUAAAUUAUUCUGAGAUGUAAUUGAUGACAAAGAUCGAAAUCUUCGAACCAAAGGUUUCACAAGUACUAUUAUUUACAAUGAAAAAUGUGAGACCUGCAUACCAGCCCUGUACACGAUAGCAUUUGGUAAAUAACGACUGACUGUUGAUGAUAUUCACAGAAAGUCAGUGACUGACUAGCAAAGAAGGGAGUGACAUGUACCAAUGUACCAGAAGAAGGAAGCAAGGCUUAAUCUACGUCAGGCCUUUUUGCUAUUUCUCGUAGACCCCAGGGAAUACAUAUGUCCUUCCUCUGGUCUGUGCAGUGAUGCUGCACAAUUAGAGGAAACGCUGAGCAUCGGAAGCCAGGCUUUCUCCCAACAAACCCAGAACCCCCAACAACACACCGCCUAGUCCCAGCUUCUCAGAAGCACAUGCUAUGAAGCUCUCUAUGCUGCUGAACAUUCCCAGGAUGACAGAAACACAGAACCUGGGGAGGGUCCCUGGUUCUCUGGGGAGGUGUCUCUUCUCUUCAGUCCCCUUCUUCUAAUGGGGUUAGGAUAAAUGAAGGGGACUGGUGAAUUGCUCUACAGCCUAUUUGCCAUGUUAACAAAGUAGGCUACCUAGCCCCUCAGAGCUUGUAAGCUGAGAAUAGUGUUUUCCUGAUUUGGCUGAUAUAAAGGUCUGCAUAACAGUAACAAGUUGUGUGGAUCCCUCCAGAUUCACACUUUACCCUUCUUUCCCCAUUCCCUUCCCUUCCCUUCCCUUCCCUUCCUCUUUCUUUCUUUCUUUCCUUCCUUCCUUCCUUACUUCUUUUUAGUCUUUCUUUUUUAAUUGAGAUAAGGUUUCACUAUGUUGCCCAGGCUGGUCUCACACUCCUGAGCUCAAGUGAUCCUCCCACCUUGACCUCCCAAAGUGCUGAGAUUGCAGGUGUGAGCCACCAUGUCUGCUCCCCCCACCCCCCCCUUUUUUUUUUAGAAACAAGGUCUCACUCUGUCUCCCAUUCAGAGCAAGUACAAUGGCACAAUGCUAGCUCACUGAGCCUCAAAUUCCUGGGCUCAAUCAAUUAUCCUGCCUCAGCCUUCCAAGUAGCUGAGACUACAAAUGUGUACCACCACACUAGUUAAUUUUCAAAUUAUUUUUUGGAGAGGUGGAGUCUCACUGUGUUGCCUAGGCUGGUCUCACACUCCUGGCUUCAAGUGAUCCUCCCACUUUGGCUUCCCAAAGUACUGGGAUUACAGGUGUGAGCCACCUCACUUGGUUGUUUUACCCUUUUUGAUAAGUGCUAUGUCUUGGGAGGUUGACCCAUAUGAAUGGCUUCAACAAGUUCUCUUGCCACCUGACUUUCUAUGGGAUAUGCCCAUGGAGGCACCAGAGGAUGAUCAGAGUUGAGAGAAGAGGGAGAUUCAGAAAUUUACUCUCCAAGCUCCUUCCUUGCCAGGUUAAAUGUAUCUCCCAAAAGUUCAUGUGUUGGAAAUUUAAUUAUCAAUGUAACAAUAUUAAAAGGUGGAACUUUUAAUAGUUGAUUGGGUCAUGAGGGCAGAGCCCUUAUGAAUGGAUUAAUGCUGUUAAUGCAGGAAUUAGCUAGUUCUACUGAGACCAGAUUAUUACAAAAACAAGCUUGACUCAGUCUUGUGAUCUCUUUUGCACAUGCUCACUUGCCCUUUUGCUUUUGUGGCAUGUUACAAUGUGGUACUAAAGCCCUUGCCAGAAGCUGCUGCCAUGCCCUUGGAUUUCCCAGCCUCCAGAACCAUGAGCCAAAUAAAUGUCUUUUCUUUAUGAACUACUCAGUCUCAAGUAUUCUGUUAUAGCAACAGAAAACAAAGACAGAAAACAGGUACCAAGAAGUGAAGUUGUUGCUAGAAUAAAUAUCUGAAAAUGUGGAAGUGGCUAUGGGAUUGGGUAAUGGGUAGAUGCUGAAAGAAUCUGGAGAAACAGGCAGUGGGUCAGCUGCUUCAUGCACAGAAGCCUACAAAAGAAGCCUUCUUCUUCUUCUUUUUUUUUUUUUUUUGAGACCGAGUUUUGCUCUUGUUGCCCAGGCUGGAUGCAAUGGCACAAUCUUGGCUUACCACAACCUCUGCCUUCUGGGUUCAACCAAUUCUCCUGCCUCAGCCUCCCAAGUAGCUGGGAUUACAGGCAUGUGCCACCAUGCUUGGCUAAUUUUGUAUUUUUAGUAGAGACUGGGUUUCUCCACAUUGAUCAGGCUUGUCUUGAACUCCUGACCUCAGGUGAUCCACCCGCCUUGGCCUCCCAAAGUGUUGGGAUUACAGACGUGAGCCACUGUGCCCAGCCCACAGGCAGCCUUCUUCUAAACAGCUACCCUCACUCCUGUCAGCACUAGGGUCCCACUCCUCCUCGCCCUGGGGUGCUAUGCCAUCCUUUGUGGUUUCCUUAAACCCUACCCACACUUUGUAAACCGUUUCUUUGUUGAAUUCUCAUCAAAUUACCAAGAGGAAAUAUGGAAUAUCUUUUCUACCAGGACUUUGAAUGAUGCAUAUGUGAAACAGCUGGCUAUAUACUAGAGGCUCAGGAAAUGGCAAUGAUGUUACUGACUCUGUAAUUUAGGUUAGCUUCAUAAUGUAUUUUAAGCAGCCCUGUUUCUUCUUUGCAAAAGGAAAUAUCCUGCAAAAAAUAUAGUUCUGCAUCUGUAUCUACAAAGUAGUUUGAAAGUGGAAUUCAUGAAUGAAUUCAGUCAAAUAGCCACUAUACUGAAGAGGGUAGAUUGUUCAUAUAUAGCCAACUUUCAUCAGGCUAGAUAUGACCUCAAAAACUGAAAUCAGAUUUGGAAAAAUCAGAGGCCUUGGGACCAUGAAUCAGUCUUGCUUCCUAGAGGAUGGGUACAGGCUUACCUCCUGGAAAAAAGAACAUUUAUUCUAACAAUCUGUUAGCAGGCCUGCAGUGGUUCUCAAAGUGCAGGUCCCAGCAUCAUCUGGGAACACAUUAGAAACGGAAACUCUCUAGCCCCAUCCCCAAGCCUGCAGAAUCAGAAGCUCAUGGGUUGCAGCCCAGUAAUAUGUGUUUUAACAGACCCUCCAGAGGACUCUGAUGCACACUAAAAUUUCAGAACUACUUCACCUGAGGGGUUUCUGGAAGUAGACAAAAGCCAACUUUCAGGAGUCUAGGUAAGCAUUUGGCAUCAGAUGACCUAACAAGCAGUAAAGAAUUCAAGAGCUGGUCAAUUCGUAAACAAAGAACUUUGUUUGCUUUGGGGAAACUCUGUCAUUAGGGAAUAGGAACAGGACCUCUGUGUAUGGUUCAGAGAAGGACUCUAGUACCUGCAGGGUGAGUGGAGAGCAGGUACAAUCAAAGCAACACCCCAAUAUUACAGGGACUGAAGGCUAAGUGGAUUCGGAAGCAAGGCAUUAUGCACUGGAAAUAAAUGAAGAACCCUUAUGGGGACUGGGGCCCUCAUCAGUCUGGGUGUCUGGAAUAGCUACAAGCCCAGUUAACAGAAUCAGAACUCAGGAUUAGUGCUGAAGAAGCAUUUUGAGUAGUUCAAUGCUUGGGAUGUGAGUGUUUGACCACAGCUUUUAAAGUCCCUGGUGCCUCAAAUUAGGACUAGUCCUAAGGGCCACAAUGUAGCUGUUUCUUUUGGUGACAACCACACAUUUUGGCUGUGGGAAGGUGGUGGGUACAAAGCCUCUAGAUUUUCAGGCAGGGCGUGACCACCACCUCUUCACACUGGAUACUUGCUGGCCAGCUGGUUUCCUGAUUCAGCUCAUUAUUUUUCAAAUUACCUGAUGUGUGUAGACCUCUGGUUUUCAGUCUUCAGUAUAUAGCAAUGUUAUGAUUUAAAUGUAUCCCCCGAAAGUUUAUGUGCUGGAAACUUGUCAAUGUAACAAUAUUAAGAGGUGGAGCCUUUAAGAGUUGAUUGGGUCAUGAGGGCAGAGCCCUUAUGAAAGGAUUAAUGCCAUUAAUGAAAGAAUUAGUUAGUUCUACUGAGACCAGAUUGUUACAAAAGCAAGCUUGGCUCACUCUUGUGAUCUCUUUUGCACAUGCUCACUUGCCCUUUUGCUUCUGUGGCAUGUUAUGAUGUGGUACUAAAGCCCUUGCCAGAAGCUGCCACCAUGCUCUUGGGCUUCCCAGCCUCCAGAACCAUGAGCCAAAUAAACGUCUUUUCUUUAUAAAUUACUCAGUCUCAAGUAUUCUGUUAUAGCAACAGAAAACAAAGACAGAAAAUUGCUACCAAGAAGUGAAAUUGUUGCUAGAAUAAAUGUCAGAAAAUGUGGAAAUAGCUUUGGAACUGGGUAAUAGGUAGACACUGAAAGAAUUUGGAGAAAUAGGCUAGAAAAAAAGCCUGUAUUUCUGUGAAUGCAGCAUUAAGGACAGUUCUGGUGAGAGCUGAGAAGAGAAGAUUAGGGAUAAUCUGAAACUCUUAAGUGAUUGCUUAAGUGGUCACAAUUGGACUGUCAGUAGAAAAAUGGACAGUAAAGGCAAUCCUGAUGAGGUCUCAGAGGGCACUGGGAAAUAACAUAUCAGAAAUUGGAGUAAAGGUCAUCUUUGUUAAAACAUAGCAAAGAAUUUGGCUGCACUGUGUCCAUGCCUGAGGGCUUUACGGAAGGCAGAUUUUAAGAGUGACAAUCUAGGCUAUCUGGCAGAAGAAAUAUCUAAGCAGCAAAGCACUCAAGCUGCUGCACAGCUACUUUUAACUGCUUAUAGUAAGAUGCUAGAGAAAACAAAUUAUUUAAGGAUGGAAUUUAUAAUUAAAAGGGAAGCAGAGCAGAAAAACUUGGAAAAUUCUCAGCCUGGCCAUGUAAAAAACUAUAAAGCAUGCCAGGAUGUGGCCAGGCAACCAUUUACUGAAGAGAUUAGUACAGAUAGAAGGAAACCAUGGGCUGUUCCUCAAGACAAUGGGAAAAAAGACCCCAGAGGCAUUUCAGAGAUCUCCAAGGCUGCCCCUCCUAUCACAGGCUGAGCUCUAGGAGGGCAAAAUGGUUUUAGGGGAUAGACCCAGGACACCCUUCAUUGGAUUACUGCCCAGGGCUGUCUCAGGUCUCUGCUCUCUGCAUCCCAGCACGGCACCCCUUGGCUGUGCUAGCCAUGGCUUGAGGAGGCCCAGGUGUGGCUCAGGCCACAGCUUCAGAAGAUGCAAACAGCAAAUUUUGGUGGCAUCCACAUGAUGUUAAGUCUGCAGGCAUGGAGAAUGCAAGAGCUGUGAGAACAUGGCUUCCUCUAUCUAGAUUUAAAAGGUUGUCACAAUCACCCAGGAGGCUGGGAUUACAGGGAUGAGCCAUUGCGCCUGGCUGAGGAAAACUUUCUAAGACAGAUGGGAGAGUAACAUUAUUUGUGAAGAUGUUGUCUUUGAUGAACGGUUGGCAUGGACUGUGAAACUGAUGAACUUAAUUUUUACCAACUAUGAACACCCAUAAUCCACAUUCACCUGAUUCUAAUUAGUUAUGUUUAACUUUGGGGCUGGGUGCUGUGGCUCAUGCCUGUCAUCCCAGCACUUUGGGAGGCCGAGGUGGGCAGAUUAACUGAGGUCAGGAGUUCGAGACCAGCCUGGCCAACAUGAUAAAACCUCAUCUCUACUGAAAAUACAAAAAUUAGCCAGGCAUACUGGCAUGCGCCUGUAAUCCCAGCUAUUCGGGAGGCUGAGGCAGGAGAAUCGCUUGAACCCAGGAAGCGGAGGUUGCGGCGAGCUGAGAUCGCGCCACUGCACCAAGACUCCAUCUCAAAAAAAUUAAAUAAAUAAGUAAAUAAAUUUGGUCAACAUACACACAUGCACACACACACAGACUUCUGUUUUGGAACUUAUGACAAAUGAUAGCUUUUUAAAAUUUUUUUCCCUACUUUUUAACUUUCUUCUUAACAGUUUUGGUUUCCGAUAAACAAAUCAGGAGGUUGAAAGAUUUGGAUCGGCCACAGAAAUUACAUUCCAUUUCUAGAGCCAUUUCACCAGCUGCACCUGCAAGUCAUAUUAACUAGCAAAUGGCAAAACUGGUAAUGAAACUCCAUGCACAUAAAAAAACUGACAUCUGAUGCUGAUAGCAUUCUCUUAAUAAAUCACCUCUCUCAGGCCGGGCAUUUACUACAAAAGGAUUGCAAGACCCAGAGAAUGACAACAUCUAUUAUAGGUUGAACUGAAUCAGGGUACUAAAGAGCUAAAAAGGGUAGCUCCUCUGCAAUGAAGCCAAUGAAAUGGUUGAAGAGGCAAGAGAAUCUGCUCUUCUUAUAAAGAGAUGCCCUAGAUCAAUCAAUUAGCCUGUUCCUACCAGUUACUUUUAUGAUAGAUGCUAUGCAUUGCCUUGCUCUUUACCCACUCCAGGCCCCUGUGAAAGUUGCAAGGCCAGAAAGCUGAUACCACAUCUGCCAAUCGUCUGCAGUGCAGCUCUCCAUGUGCUUUGGGCACUUCCAGUUAGAUGCAUGCACACAAAACUUUGAUCUAGAACUGAGUCACAUGGGGAUAAAGGCAGGGUACAGGCACUCACUUUGCUGGUGUAGACUGUAGCAGAGAGGCGUGGAUUUGCACCUGGAAGCCUCAGGUAUCUUCUAUACUACUUUUUACUUCUAUGAAAUCAACUUUUUAUAUACUUUUUAUUAAAGAAGUUCUACAAAAUUGCAUAAACAUAGGCCCUACAAAACCUGGAUCCAUCUGUAAUAUCAGGCAUCCCUUUGGAAGAAUAUUUUUGCCGCAAUGUCCUCUAGAAGGAGUUGAGAAGCAGGAGAAGAAAAGACAUGAGGCCCUAGCCUUCCCCAGGUUGGUCCUGGUCCUGCCUUGAUCCCUGGAACACUCCUGGAGUAACCUACAGAGAAAGAGAGGAAACUGUCACUAAACCAAUCCUCUCCCAAUUUCGGAUCAACUUCUGGAACCAAUAGUUUGUUGCAUGAUCGUAGGAAAUUUGACUUACGGAUAAAAUAAAUGAGUAUAGGAAGUAGCUUUUAAACUGUUGUUGUUUUUUUUGUUUUGUUUUGUUUUGUUUUUUUUAAUAUGGUACACAUAAAGUCUUCUAUGACCUUGGAAAUUUUAGCCUGACUCCAUUCUGGCAAAAGAAAACUUACUGUGUGAGAAAGGUUUUUUCAAGGCAAAAACAUCAUUCUGAUGUUUGGGUUAGUCAUCCAAUUGCUAAUAUUUGUAUAAUUAACUCAUUUAAUUUGCCACUGAAAAGCUACCUUUGUUUACCUGCUGCCAUGAUGCUGGGCUAAGUCUCAUGUUGUAAUAUCAUAAUCUUCUAGGUGCAACACAGAGAGUGGCUUCUCUACUGGGUGGUCAUUGUAGAGGAUUAGCAUCUAUCCCUCCUCAGGUACAUAGUGUAAGAUGAUCAUGGCAUUUCCUUUUCCCCUCCACUGACUCAUUCAAAAAUGGGCAAGUCUCGACUGUUUGAGCUGGUGGAAAUGUGGAGUCUUACCCAGGGCUUCUGGUAAAGAACCAAUCUCUCCCUCCCCUGGUGAUAGUGAACACAACUACUUUUGGCAGCUGGUAUUAAGUCAGAGCCCCAUCAAAAUUUAGUUGCCAUACUCAAAUUAGAAUAAUUCAAGAAUGAUUUAAUAAUAAAAGGCAUUCAAGGGCAUGAGCAGGGUACAGUGAAAGCACAUAGGACAAAGCAGCACACUAGGACACGGAGCAGGAGAACCAUCAUCACAUCUGUGUCCAAAACCACAAUGAGCAGGGUUACCAGAACCCCAGAGAAAGUCGCAUAGAGAGGGCCACUGGAGGGGAGCUGUGAACUUGGGUUAUGAAAAGUGGUCAAUCCAGCCUGACUGCGCAGGGAAGAAGCCAGAUGAAUAAGUGCCCCAAAUUUAUUCUCUUAUUUCUGUUCAAGUUCCGCAAGCAAUCCCCAUUAGCUGAAUCCAAACAGAAGCCAGGGUGUAAGGGAUCUUAUUCAUGUAAGCCAUACAAGUCACAGAGCAGAGAAAGAAGUCCAGAGAGGAGCCUGAAGGAAUAACUGAGUGUUCAAGACACCAGCCUCUUAUGACUUCAGGAGGAGUCACCUGAGUGUGAAACUGACACUGUAGAAGUCAGAGCAGAGUACCUGGGUACAUGAAGACAAGGAACACUAAAGUCUGCCCUAUCUUGGACUUCCUGCUACUUGUGCCACUUCCUAUGCAAACAAAUGCCCCACUCCUAAUUUCUGAAGAUACUGUAAGAAUGACUUGAGAGAUUUUUGCACAUCCAGACGCCAAGCUGCAGUGCACCUAGGAUGCCAUGUGGAAGCCAGAGCCGCACCUCCCGCGUGGCCAUUCAGGCCAGCCGGGUAUCUCACAUGAGAACCGCACUCAUGGCUGGGCGUGGUUGCUCACGCCUGUAAUCCCAGCACUUUGGGAGGCCAAGAUGGGUGGAUCACCUGAGGUCAGGAGUUUGAGACCAGCCUGGCCAACAUGGGGAAAUCCUGUCUCUACUAAAAAUACAAAAAUUAGCCUGACAUGAUGGCACGCGCCUGUAAUCCCAGCUACUCAGGAGGCUGAGGCAGGAGAAUCACUUGAAUUCAGGAGGCAGAGGUUGCAGUGAGCCGAGAUCUCACCACUCCACUGCACUUCAGCCUGGGUGACUGAGUGAGACUUGAUCUCAAAAAAAAAAAAAAAAAGAACUAAAGAACUACAGCCAGGCCAGCACCAGCAGCUCAGCUGCCAGCAGCGGCAUCCCCCUUUGCAGCUGGCCCUCCUGCUGCUGGGCCCAGGCAGCCAGGUCUGAUGGCCCGGAUAGCAACCACUGGAGCUGGCGUGGGGUACACGGUGGGUCAUACCAUCACUGGGGGCUUCAAUGAAGGAAGUAAUGCUGAGCCUGCAAGUCCUGACAUCACCUACCAGGAGCCCCAGGGAACCCAGAUGUCACAGCGGCAGCAGCCUUGCUUCUAUGAGAUAAAACCGUUUUUGGAGUGUGCCCGGAACCGGGUGACAUAAAGCUCCGUGAGGGUUUCAGUGAGGUGCUGAAACAGUGCAGACCUGCAAAUGGAUUGGCCCAAUCGAGAAGUUCAAAUUGGAGAAAUGGAAAAUCAGCUCUCAUAACCAAGUUAAUUUAGUAUAAAAAUAUAAUUAAUAAUGAAGAGAUAAAGAGUAACCAUCAGUUAAACCUCUCAGGUGUCAUUCAUAGCUUUCUUCCUUCAGAAUUAAAAUGGAAGACGCUGUUCUUACUAUGUAGAAUUUCAUUAAGAUGGUGAGGAAUUUAGGGCUGGGCCAAUGUUUGUGUGGCCUCCUUAAACUAGCUGUUAUGAUUUUAUUCUGUUAAACUAGCUGUUAUUAUUUUAUUUGUGUGUUACUUAGAAUAAAGUGAUCGUCUUCCAAAAAUAAGAAUGACUUGAGUUCCAAGCCUUAUGCUAAUAGUAACUGAUUUCUUUUAUCCUGAUUCUAAAGUUUUCUCUAAUGAGACUCUUGAGUGUUUUCAUUACAGGUCUCAUUCACUGGCCCUUAUUGUAAAACUCUUCCUGGCUGAGCGUGGUGGCUCUUGUCUGUAUUCCUAACACUUUCGGAGGCCACGGUGGGAGAAUUGCUUGAGGCCGGGGGUUUGAGACUAGCCUGAGCAACAUAGGGAAAUCCCAUCUCUACAAAAAUGAAAAGAAUUAGCCAUGUGUAGUGGCAUGCACCUGUGGUCCCAGCUACUUGGGAGGCUGAGGUGGGAGGGUCACUUGGGCCUGGAGGUGGAGGCUGCAAUGAGCUAUGAUUGUGCUACUGCACUCCAGCCUGGGCGACAGAGUGAGACCUUCCUUCUCAAACAAAACAAAACAAAAACAAAACCUCCUGUCAACCAAGCUUGCUAUCUUAGGGACCAGGAGUUAAUUAAUCUGACAGUUCUAAAAAAUACAAACUACCCCCAAUAGCGACUAGUAAACACUGAACAGAAUUUUGCACUCACCUUUGAAAGAUUAUAUUGCAGGAACUUACCAGUUCCUCUUCAUCUUAUUGUCAGAUCAUGAUCCUACUGCCUGGUGACAUAAAACCUUUCAAAUUGAAGGGGGUAUGGAUGGUAUAUAAAUGCUAAUGCCCUUAGGAAUGCUUUCAGAUGCAAGUAACAGAAAGGUAACAAAUACAUUUAAAUAGCUAACAAGCUGUCCAGAGGUGGGCUGUUCCAGUUCCAUUUAGGGAACAGGAGCUCAAAAUGACAUCAAGGAUUCAGGCUCUUUUUAUAUUUUUACUCUGCCAUCUUUAGUACAUUGGCUUAUUAUCCAGUCAUCUUGUCACUUCUUGGUUACAGAAAGAUCAAUGCAGCUCCAAGCAAGUUAUCCUUACUUAGUUACUUCUAAGACAAGAAGAAAGCUUUGGGGUGCAAAGGACUUUUCAUAAAUCUCUAUAUUUCUAACCAGGAAGAAAAUCUGUCAAUGCUGCUUCUUGGUUAGCGGAGGGAAAAAAAAAAUAUUUCCGAGAUACCUCCCACCCCCUGCCAACACAUUUUACGUUACAUCUUUUCAGCCAGAAAUUGGCCCCCCUGCCAAAUGUUAGAACAAACAAUAGCAAGGGGGAACUGAAUGACCGUGACUGGCUAAGAUCUAUGAGAUUCAUUCCCUGGAGUUCACCACCUGCCUUGAGUUUUAGAGAUCCUAACAAAAUCAGGAUUCUGUGGUUUGCAAGGAGAAAGUGGUUAUUGGAUGAGCAAGCAACAGUGCCUUUCAUAAUACCUUUCCCCUCUCAUUCUGCUAGCAAAAUUGGACUGCCUCAUCAGAGGAGGCAGAAUGAUUUUUGUCGUGUUGUAAUGUCAGCUCAUUGGAAAGGCUCUCAGGAAAAUAGGUCACCAGUGCACUUUCUCUGCACUAGGUAAUAGGAAAAAAUAAAGAGAAAAAACUGAGGUGGCAGGGACAAGUGACUUGAUAGUUUUAAACCUUUGCUUCAGCAGGAGAGGCUUUAACUAAAGACUUUUUAUGCCAAAUGCCUACUAGAGUGAGACUAAUGAUGUACCAACCUCUAAACAUUCAGGUUUAUGAGUCAAUUAGAACAAAUGGCUAAGGACAUUUCGGAUUUUGCUUGAAUUUCCUGCACAUGCAUGUGCCACAAAAUCUUAACAAUUCCAAAUGGCCCUAUUAUGUGACCAUGUAUGCAUCUCUGUUUAAACAGAUAUGAAGUAAUGACUAAAUUAGUUACUUACUUGGUUGGCAUUCAUCUGAAUGUGUCUUUCCAAUAGAUCACUACUUUAUUCAGAAUUAAAUACCAUAAAUUCAAAACUGCUCACUUGCAUAGUGUAAAGUUUGCUUAGAUGCUUUUAUCGAGACUAGCUCUUUGUCUUUUGAUGGAUCAAAGCUAUUUUAUUCAAACUGAAUACCAGCUGCAAACAGUGGCUCAUGCCUGUAAUCCCAACACUUUUGGAGGCCAAGGCAGGAGGAUUGCUUGAGGUAGGAGAACCUGAGCCACAUAGUAAGUCCCUGACUCUACAGAAUAAAAAUAAAUAAAUAAAUAUCUGAAUACCAGUUUGAUCAGUGUUUUGCUAAAAUGUUUUAAUUAUUAGAUACAUGUUCUAACCUAAAUAUAACUUUCUAACAGGUAUUGCUGCAUUGCCAAGAACUCAGAGAAGUUACUCUAUGGAGUACUAUUAGCAUAACUCAUGUAAUGUUUAAACUUGCCUUGGACUGAGAUGUUCAUGCUGGCAGAUAUUGUGUAGUGAUAACAGCCAAUAGAUACAGAUCACUUACUUGAGGAGGCAUUGUACCAGGCAUUUUCCAGACAUGUGCUCAUUUAAUUCUUACAAGUCUGGGAAAUAGGCAUUACUUUCAGCAUUGUUAUGUAUGAGGUUAACUUUUUAGAAAGAUUAUUUAAAUAUUCUGUGGUCAUUUUUAUCAUAAAUUUAAAAAUACUGUAUUGUUAAUUGUCAAAUAUUUUGAAGCCAUCAUUAUAAAGCUGUUAGACUGAAUCAGGUAUUUUAAAUUUGUUGUAGUCCAUGGAGAUUACAGUUAUAAUUUAUUUAGUUUGUUUAGACUAUUAAAGUUCUUUGAUUACAAACAAGAGAAACAGAUUCGAGAUAACAUAAGUAAACUGAAACAUAUUGGAAGGGAGUAGCUUACAGAAUCAAAGGUGAACAACUGGAUCAUGGGAAGAAUAAGAAAUAGAGUAAUUUCCAGCAUCCAGAUGGCAGGCAUGAGUGGGCCCAUUUCUUCAGGAACAUGCCAGAGGGAUGAUCAGCUCCAAUCUCUUCCUGAUCGCCUGGCUCGCAACUGGAAUUUGUGAGGUUGAAUCUGAUUGGCCUCACUUGGGCCACAUGACACUGUUUUUCAGGGGAGGACACGAAUCUUGAUUAUUGGCACAAACUAGGAAAGGGGUAAUUCCCCAAGGAAAAAGAAAGGUGCUGCUUCCAGAAAAGAGUGGGUGCUGGGACUGGGAAAAACACCAGAUGUCCAUUACAAUAUGUGACAGAGUUGUGAUUCAAACCUCAAACCACUGGCUGGGUGUGGUGGCUUAUGUCUGUAAUCCCAGCACUUUGGGAGGCCAAGGUAGGUAGAUCACUUGAAUCCAGGAGUUCAAGACCAGCUUGGGCAACAUGGUGAAACCCUGUCUCUAUUAAAAAAAUAAAAUAAAAUAAAACUUCAAAUCACUCCAAAAUUCUUUUCUCUUAAUAAUUUUCUUAUUUUUAAAAUCAUUCAUAGGCAAAAUAAUCCUAAUGGAGCAAAAUGAGAUAAAUAUACAAUAAUUAUUAUAUAUAGCUUGGCAGUGCUAUAUGCAAAUUCAGUGAUAGCAGUGCUCACAGCAAGGUCUUGGGGGAAUUCAAUGGCAGGUCCUGCUGAUGGUUUUGUCAUCUUCUCUGCUGGUCUCCAUUAUGCCACAACCCAUUUGGGAAACCGUUUAGCAGCCAGACUGGCGCAAUCAACCAAAUCUGGGAUCAAUGAGCUGUCUCAUUUCUUAGCCCAAUUGCGGAAGUGUGUACUUCCUAUUUUUAGUGGGCUGACUCCAGAAAAUUAACAUUAUUGCUACUAUUAAUAUCAUCCAGAAGUUUCCUUAGUGGUUCACUGUUUCAAUAUUAGCCCUUGGAAACAAAAUACCACCUUAUAUUUUAAAAUUUCCAAGUUCCUUUUUGAAGACAAGACUUAUUUUUGCACGGAAUUCCCAUAGUUUCUAUGAAUGUCUGAAGAGACAACUUAGGUUAUAAAAUUUUGCUUUCGGCCAGGCACGGUGGCUCACACCUGUAAUCCCAGCACUUUGGGAGGACGAAGUGGGUGGAUCACAAGGUCAAGAGAUCGAGACCAUCCUGGCCAAUACAGUGAAAUCCCG